UGUGUGGCAUACGGCUCAGUAACACGUAGUCAACAUGCCCAGGGGACGUGGAUAACCUCGGGAAACUGAGGAUAAACCGCGAUAGGUCACUACUUCUGGAAUGGGUAAUGACCCAAACCUAUAUGGCCCCUGGAUUGGACUGCGGCCGAUCAGGCUGUUGGUGAGGUAAUGGCCCACCAAACCUGUAACCGGUACGGGCUCUGAGAGGAGGAGCCCGGAGAUGGGCACUGAGACAAGGGCCCAGGCCCUAUGGGGCGCAGCAGGCGCGAAACCUCUGCAAUAGGCGAAAGCUUGACAGGGUUACUCUGAGUGAUUUCCGUUAAGGAGAUCUUUUGGCACCUCUAAAAAUGGUGCAGAAUAAGGGGUGGGCAAGUCUGGUGUCAGCCGCCGCGGUAAUACCAGCACCCCGAGUGGUCGGGACGUUUAUUGGGCCUAAAGCAUCCGUAGCCGGUUCUACAAGUCUUCCGUUAAAUCCACCUGCUCAACAGAUGGGCUGCGGAAGAUACUAUGGAGCUAGGAGGCGGGAGAGGCAAGCGGUACUCGAUGGGUAGGGGUAAAAUCCGUUGAUCCAUUGAAGACCACCAGUGGCGAAGGCGGCUUGCCAGAACGCGCUCGACGGUGAGGGAUGAAAGCUGGGGGAGCAAACCGGAUUAGAUACCCGGGUAGUCCCAGCUGUAAACGAUGCAGACUCGGUGAUGAGUUGGCUUUAUGCCAACUCAGUGCCGCAGGGAAGCCGUUAAGUUUGCCGCCUGGGGAGUACGGUCGCAAGACUGAAACUUAAAGGAAUUGGCGGGGGAGCACCACAAGGGGUGAAGCCUGCGGUUCAAUUGGAUUCAACGCCGGA
Molecule: ribosomal RNA, 844 nt
Filed under: uncultured archaeon
Lineage: Archaea
Description: bacterial SSU rRNA
Rfam family: Archaeal small subunit ribosomal RNA
Source: RNAcentral